UGCAAACAAAUAAUUUAUAUAUUUAUGCGUAUGUUGAAAAUUUGUUUGCAUAUAUAAACAAGGGGGGCCAUUCUUUUUAGCGUGGCCAAUUCAACCUGUCACAUCAUUCAAUGCACUGGAUAUAUCAUUGCAUGGUUUAUGGCUCUUCUUGUCUCGUGGCUUUCGGUUUUUCAUUUUUUGUACUGGCGACACUAUCAGUUAGUUCACGGCCCUUGGUUUCAAAUGGAAAGUAGCAGGUGCAGAUCCCUGACACAAAAACUACACCCACAAAAAGAACAACUGCUGCAGUUUGAUGGCAACCUUGCACCAAACCUACUGCCACAAAAGGGCAGAUCAUCCCACCAACCCUUCCCAUUGAGCUUGCAACUCCAACACCUGUUGUCCUCACUGAAGUUGGG
Molecule: unclassified non-coding RNA, 398 nt
Filed under: Hevea brasiliensis (rubber tree)
Lineage: Eukaryota; Viridiplantae; Streptophyta; Magnoliopsida; Malpighiales; Euphorbiaceae
Source: RNAcentral